Molecule: long non-coding RNA, 2451 nt
Filed under: Gallus gallus (chicken)
Lineage: Eukaryota; Metazoa; Chordata; Aves; Galliformes; Phasianidae
Description: lncRNA (ENSGALG00010002650.1)
Source: RNAcentral
UGUGAGCUUACAAAGCCUCUUGUUGGUCUGGGAAUUGAGUACUUGGGAUUUCCCUGCAUGAAACCCAAGAACAUGCAGGCCUGGCUGCUGAAGUUGGAGAAAAAUGACUUGUGCAGCCAGUGGCUUUUCCCUGGGUAAUGAUAGUGAGAGGCACCUCUCAGAGGGAGGUGUUAAUACAGUGCACAUGCAGCAGCUUACAGGAAGCCAAAGGCUUUUCCUCCUCCUGAGUGAUGCACCCUGCAGGAGGACGCUUGCAGGAUGCCUUCUGCGGGGCCUUCACCCUCUGACUUCUGUGGGAUGCUCCAUGCUGUGCGGACACCAUAGCAGCAGCUUGGGCAUGGCUGGCACUCCUCCCUGCUGCUCCUGGAGCCCCACUCCUCCCUUGGCUGUCAGCUGCCACCUGCUGCUUCUGCACAGGGGGACGUUAACCAGAAGGUUCCUACAGAACUCUUGGCAGACAGACACAGACAGCACUCCUGCUGUCACCCGGUCACGUUGUCUGCGUGUCAUCCAUGUGCUGCUGAUACACCUCUCUCUGCUGCUGCAGCUUGUGCUGUGGGAUCUAAGUCCUUGACCGAACGUCUUCAUUUCAGGUAUGGAACAAGGAGCUGACUGAUUUCGCCGUGCCUAACAGCCAGCUGCUUGCAGUUAAAGCAGCAGUCUCCUUCAUGUUCAAAUCAGCUCUACGUUUUCUUUCCACAUUUGUUCCCAAACCACGUCGCAUAAGGAAAAAGCACCUCUUUCCCCGUUUCCAGGCCCUAUUUCCAUUUGGGCCUCGGAUCACAGUGACCAGGAGAGCAGAACCGCACCGUGCCCACGCACACCCAGGUUCUGUUCUGUUUUCAGACUGAAGCCGAGACGCUGCUCAACAGAAAUAAGAAAGGAGAUGCAAACGAUCAAUAUGAAGCGGCCGAGGGACGACUCAUGCAAGAUAUGCUGUGUGCACUUAGGAAGAACAACCGCAGCCCCCCAAAGAUUUGGCACGACCUGUCAGGCCAGCAUUAAUCUUGCGUGAUGAAUAAUGUGGCAGUCUAGGAGUUUUUAACAGCUUUAAAAUGAGAAAACUGUGGGACGCGAUAGCCGAAAGUAAAUCUGCUCAAAAAUUGGAGAAUACUUUGGAUCAAAUGGAGAUACUGAGUAAUGCGUAACUAUUUAAGCAUCAAUUGCUGCAAGCGAGGCGGGCUUGUGGCUGGGAGCAGCUUUAUGCCACAAAUAAUUCACCCAAAGAUUUAAUUAUAAGUCAGGGCUGAGGCUGGAGCGAUUCCGAGAAGGGGCCCGGCCCUGUGGUGUGUGAGGGGCAGGAGCACCUCCCAGCACCUCCCAUUGGCACUGGGCCAGGUCUGGGGAUGCUACGCGGGGCCAGGCCCAGCUGGCGCUGCCUGGAAAUUUAGGGGGAAUUGGGGGUUUUAGGCUGACAAACCAAACCGGUUGUGUGUGGGGGAUAGCGGGAAGGAUACCGUCCUGCCUGAAGUCGGCACCAAUUUGCUGCCGGCUGUCGCGGGGACAAGAUCAGGCUUUGCGUGUGAAGUCACCUCCCUCGGAGGUGGCCUGACAAACGCUAAAGCAAAACGUUUCAUUUAGAAGCUGUCACAGAGGAAUUACUCACCUUUUAUGCUUAUUAAAUUUGCCGUGUGCUUUCCUGUAAAGGGACCGGAGAGCGGCCGGACAUUUUAAUUUUCACUCUUUGCAAAAUAAAGAUGACAGUCAAGAACUUUGCCUGUUUUUACAGCUUCUAAUGAAAGCAGUUCAUUCCGUUUUUAUGGAAAGGAAAAUAAAAUGUGUUUGUUUCCGCAGAUUUUAGGAGAAUUAGCAUGUAUCCGAUUGUUAAUAUUUGAUCCUUCUUUAAUUAUUUAUGGUAUCAAGGAAUGAAUCUGUCAAGUAAAUAAUGAAAUGCGUACAUGCAGCAUAUGUAAUUAGGUUAGGUGCAUAAAUCCAAAGUGUUCACUUUAUAGUUGUCAGAGCAAAAUUUAUUAAUAAUGAGAAAUGCUAAGUGAAGAAAAUCCCUAACAGUGCUCAUUAGUGUAGGUUAGAGCAGUUGCCGAGGAGGAAAGUUGCCCCUCUGCUCUCUCUGCUUUGUCACCUGAGGACGUUAGCAGGCUCACAGCCUUCCCAAAACACAUCUCUAUAUCACACAUGUGUAGCACAGAGCCUCUCCUCUUCAGAUCUGGGUGCUCCAGGAACCAAGCCAUGGCUUGGCAGCAGGCAAUGCCUCCUCAUCCUCUGUGCUCCUUGAAUUGUUCCUGCUUUCUGCAGAUUAUGGCAAAAUUGGUCCUCGUUAAUAAAAAAACAAAGCAAAAUUAAUCUGCGAAUUGGUGCCUCUUGGGGCGAGAGGAAGAUGUGUGAGGCAGAUGAAACACCUGUUUGAGACAGAGAACUGCCACUGUGGGACCGUGAAGAGCAGUUCUCUAUCCCUAAAGGUGUUUUUCAGAGCUCCCGCUCCAAAGGAAGAUC